GAUGAACGCUGGCGGCGUGCCUAAUACAUGCAAGUCGAGCGAAUGGAUGAGAGCUUGCUCUCAGAAGUUAGCGGCGGACGGGUGAGUAACACGUGGGUAACCUGCCCUUAAGACUGGGAUAACAUCGAGAAAUCGGUGCUAAUACCGGAUAAUUUAUUUGACCGCAUGGUCGAAUAAUGAAAGGUGGCGUAAGCUACCACUUAUGGAUGGACCCGCGGCGUAUUAGCUAGUUGGUGAGGUAAUGGCUCACCAAGGCAACGAUACGUAGCCGACCUGAGAGGGUGAUCGGCCACAAUAGGACUGAGACACGGCCCAGACUCCUACGGGAGGCAGCAGUAGGGAAUCUUCCGCAAUGGACGAAAGUCUGACGGAGCAACGCCGCGUGAGUGAUGAAGGCUUUCGGGUCGUAAAACUCUGUUGUUAGGGAAGAACAAGUACCGUUCGAAUAGGGCGGUACCUUGACGGUACCUAACCAGAAAGCCACGGCUAACUACGUGCCAGCAGCCGCGGUAA
RNAcentral lists this ribosomal RNA (513 nucleotides) under uncultured bacterium. RNAcentral describes it as "partial 16S ribosomal RNA". It matches the Rfam family "Bacterial small subunit ribosomal RNA", at positions 28 to 523 of the family's 1533-position model. The record is from RNAcentral.